UGGUUCCUACGGGGGGCAGCAGUGGGGACUAUUGCACAAUGGGGGAAACCCUGAUGCAGCGACGCCGCGUGAGUGAAGAAGUAUUUCGGUAUGUAAAGCUCUAUCAGCAGGGAAGAAAAUGACGGUACCUGACUAAGAAGCCCCGGCUAACUACGUGCCAGCAGCCGCGGUAAUACGUAGGGGGCCAGCGUUAUCCGGAUUUACUGGGUGUAAAGGGAGCGUAGACGGCAUGGCAAGUCAGAUGUGAAAGCCCGGGGCUCAACCCCGGGACGGCAU
This 276-nucleotide ribosomal RNA is filed under the name uncultured bacterium. Its description in RNAcentral is "partial 16S ribosomal RNA". It matches the Rfam family "Bacterial small subunit ribosomal RNA", at positions 333 to 626 of the family's 1533-position model. The record is from RNAcentral.